This 517-nucleotide ribosomal RNA is filed under the name Blastocystis sp. H3. Its description in RNAcentral is "bacterial SSU rRNA". It matches the Rfam family "Eukaryotic small subunit ribosomal RNA", at positions 1358 to 1706 of the family's 1831-position model. The record is from RNAcentral. Lineage: Eukaryota; Bigyra; Opalinata; Blastocystidae.
UUUGAUGAAAUGUCUAAUUGGAUAACCGUAGUAAUUCUAGAGCUAAUACAUGUUUAGUAGACUGCAUUUAUUAGAAUGAAAACCACUAUUCGUGAGUAAUAAUAACUAAUCAUAUCGUAUGCUUAAGUAACGAUGUGUCUUUCAAGUUUCUGCCCUAUCAGCUUUCGAUGGUAGUGUAUUGGACUACCAUGGCAGUAACGGGUAACGAACUAUAGUAUUCUAUAGCCUUAGAGGGACACUAUACAUAAAGUAUAGGGAAGCUGGAGGCAAUAACAGGUCUGUGAUGCCCUUAGAUGUCCUGGGCUGCACGCGCGCGACACUGAUUCAUUCAACAAGUGGCUGAAUCGAUAGAUUUGGCAAAUCUUUUGAAAAUGAAUCGUGAUGGGGAUUGAUGUCUGUAAUAAACGUCAUGAACGAGGAAUUCCUAGUAAAUGCAAGUCAUCAACUUGCGUUGAUUACGUCCCUGCCCUUUGUACACACCGCCCGUCGCACCUACCGAUUGAAUGGUCCGAUGAAC